CCUACGGGUGGCAGCAGUGGGGAAUAUUGGGCAAUGGGCGCAAGCCUGACCCAGCGACGCCGCGUGAAGGAAGAAGGCUUUCGGGUUGUAAACUUCUUUUAAGAGGGAAGAACAGACGACGUUACCUCUUGAAUAAGCCACGGCUAACUACGUGCCAGCAGCCGCGGUAAUACGGAGGUAGCAAGCGUUGUCCGGAUUUACUGGGUGUAAAGGGCGUGUAGCCGGGCUGACAAGUCAGAUGUGAAAUUCCGGGGCUCAACCUCGGACCUGCAUUUGAAACUGUUGGUCUUGAGUAUCGGAGAGGAAGGCGGAAUUCCUAGUGUAGCGGUGAAAUGCGUAGAUAUUAGGAGGAACACCAGUGGCGAAGGCGGCUUGCUGGACGACAACUGACGGUGAGGCGCGAAAGCGUGGGGAGCAAACAGGAUUAGAUACCCGGGUAGUC
This 442-nucleotide ribosomal RNA is filed under the name uncultured bacterium. RNAcentral describes it as "partial 16S ribosomal RNA". It matches the Rfam family "Bacterial small subunit ribosomal RNA", at positions 338 to 795 of the family's 1533-position model. The record is from RNAcentral.